Molecule: transfer RNA, 74 nt
Filed under: Salinarchaeum sp. Harcht-Bsk1
Lineage: Archaea; Methanobacteriati; Methanobacteriota; Halobacteria; Halobacteriales; Natronoarchaeaceae
Description: tRNA-Trp (CCA) (tRNA-Trp-CCA-1-1)
Rfam family: tRNA
About the family: Transfer RNA (tRNA) molecules are approximately 80 nucleotides in length. Their secondary structure includes four short double-helical elements and three loops (D, anti-codon, and T loops).
Source: RNAcentral
GGGGUCGUGGCCCAGUCCGGCAGGGCGACUGACUCCAGAUCAGUCGAUCGGGGGUUCAAAUCCCUCCGACCCCA